CCAUGCAGAUUUUUGUAUGCUUCAGCACUCUCUCUCUCUCUCUCUCUUUCUCUCUCUCUCACACACACACACACACACACACACACACACACUGUUUGGAGAGAGGAUGUGUAAAGUAAAUGUCAAGGACAUCAUUAAGCUCCAGGAACAAUAACAUGAUAUCUCUAAUGCUUGUCUGCUAUUUACAACUUUGAGAAACUGAAUAUUUGUAGUCUUUUGAUGACCUUCUACUCUUUAUAUUAGUGCACAGCAUAUGUCUCUCCUGGGAAUGACUGCAAAAGCCAGUGCACUCAUACAGCAACAACCAAUCUACUAGACAGCCUACAACAAACUGGCUAUAAGGAAAACAUAUUUCAGGUUUGUGUGUGUGUGUGUGCUGUGCCAUUUUGGUUCAUGGAAUUACUUCUUGGAAACUGUUUCUCAGUGGGUAUGAAGCACCUCUUAAAAACUGGGAUAAGAUUAAGGGAAAAAAUGACAAAUUAUGUCCUCAUACCCUCCGGGCGCAAGAAUGCUUUUAAAAAGAAGGAAGAGAGAAACCCAAGGGUCCGUCGAGAGGCAUAAUAACCUAUAAGAGCGGAGAAAAUCCCAUUACCUGUCAUACACUUCUCCCCUCAUAAUUACUAGAACCACCUCUCCGAAAAAGGUGAAGGACACUCUUUUAUGGAGGCGCUCCGUCGUGUGAGACCAUUUAGCUCACCCUGCUCCGAGUCGCAGUGGAAAACAAGCCCGAUAUCUAUCUCUUUGGCUGACACCUUGUUCCAUGUCCUUUUUAAAAUUAGUCCGUGUUCUCAGGCGAGGGCUGAGCAUUGCUGAAGGGCGCGUGUUUGUGUGUUGUAUUUGAUCACACUGCAUCUUGGUCUUCCUGCGAAUCACAACGCUGUCGUGCGCGCGCGAACGUGUCUAUAAUACUCCUAUCUGUUUUGUCAUGGCCACAUUUGACACGUGACACAUGCGGACUACCUACCGUGAGCGAGGUCAGAGCACACAGACACAGAGGAUUGCAUCUCCGCCUGGCCCUCUCUCUUCACGGCCUGAAAGAGUGUCAACGAGCCAUGUUCAUCUUACCUAAUCUUUUGCUUUCCGUGGGAGGCUGGUCCAAGAGGAUAACCAAAAGGGAAAUGCCUUCAUUUGACAAUGGACAGGAGAGAGAAGAUACAACAGGACAACAAUGAGUGGGAGAGAGAGAGAUGGGGCGUGGGCUGGAGAGAUGACUCCUGGGUACUGGACCUACGCUACCUCUGCGCUACGGCUACACCCGUGGGGCCGUCUCUUAAGUUUAGAUUGGAUAUGAUCUAAUGAUCAGAUAGUUUGCUCAGGCACAGCAACUCAAAGAAAGAAUUGGAUCUGUGGAAAUGAAACAUGUAUCACGUCACCAUAACAUGUGUUUGACAUGACCUCCACUCCCAUACAAACGUGCGCACAAACACACACACAAACACACACACACACACACACACACACACACACACACACACACACACACACACACAUAUAUAUACACUCGCACUACCCCAGCUCUUUGCAAUCUCCUUCCAGGCGCUACCAAGGAGUAUUUGUGUCUGUAACAAUGUCAUUACAACAGCUGACAAAGAAUAACAUGUUCCUAGGGCACAUUGGUGUGGCUGUUAUGGUGGUGUUUUGUGUGUGUAUGUGUUUGUGUGUGUGUGUGUGUGUGUGUGGUUGUGUGUAUGUGUGUGUGUUUGGGAGGGGUAAUGAUGGGAGAAGCUUUCCUUUCAUACUGAUUGCCGCAGACUCAGGGUAAUGGAACAUUAGAGCCCUUCCACAAAUCUCUUUCCGUGUGCGCGCGAAGGGCCGGCGAAUGACUGGUUGCUUCGUCUCCACUUUGCAGAGAUUUCAGAUGUAUAUGUUGCCCCUCUAUGGUACAUUGCUAUUUAAUGACCCUUACUCCUCAAAGUUGUGCAAUCUAUCGUGGCACACACAUGCUGUGUUGGCAAGUGGAUUGUAUGAAUAGGUUUCACCUCCAUUUUUUCCCCUUUGUGCUUGGACCUUUCUGUACAGCUAAGCUGUAGCAAAUGACUGUUAGGCUGUUCUGUGUCUGCAUAGAAUACAUAAAAGCUAUACAUAAAAUUAUCUGCAGUGAGAGGCAAUCUCAGGGGAAAAUAGUGAACUGACAUACCAGCAUUGUGAUAAGGGCAACUCUCUCUCUCGCUUUCGCUCACACACACACACACACACACACACACACACACACACACACACACAAUCACAUACUCAUACACACACACACGUUAACAGUUGCAGUAAAAUCUUCAGAUGCUACUGACCUUGAGUGUUAAAAUUGCAGUCAGACAAAAAGCGCAGUGACACCCAGGCACUUUGCAGCUGGAUUGCAGGCCUGCCAGUAAGCAUUGUUCUCUAAGCACAGUCAGUGAUGGAUUGUCUGUUGACAGAAAGCAUCCACUCCUCAUCAAAGAGAACCAGACAAACAGGUCCUAACUGGCAGCCAAAGAGGCAUUUACCCUCCACCAAGAUUUGGAAACAGGAAAUCAAUGUUUCACUGCUUCUUGCUAUCAGGGCAGCUCAGUAGACAUCUCACCACCAUCCCAUCCACACCAGGCCCUCUGUGGUCCUGCUGGAUGGGCACAUUUGACGGGUUGAAUCCCAUCUGGGUGUCAGCGUUGACCCCCUGGCUCUGCUCCUGGAAGAAAAUGAGCGUUCUGCUCCCAGUGAACACAGUAAUGAUUUGGUUUCAUUGCGGUAAUGCAGGCCCACACUGCCAAGUCACAUUUCCAACGAGUCCAAUGUCCCUUACGUAACGGCUAAUGUUGUUGUUUUGUUGACUGUUGUCCAAUUUGACUUUGAUCGGGCCACCAAGUGCGAUUCCAAAUCUCGAGUAGGCACUUUCAAGUGUAUGGAAAAUUUCUGCAUGAAAAGCU
Molecule: long non-coding RNA, 2897 nt
Organism: Clupea harengus (Atlantic herring)
Lineage: Eukaryota; Metazoa; Chordata; Actinopteri; Clupeiformes; Clupeidae
Source: Ensembl